RNAcentral lists this ribosomal RNA (379 nucleotides) under uncultured bacterium. Its description in RNAcentral is "bacterial SSU rRNA". It matches the Rfam family "Bacterial small subunit ribosomal RNA", at positions 432 to 793 of the family's 1533-position model. The record is from RNAcentral.
ACUUUCAGUAGUGAGGAAAGGUGUAUAGUUAAUAGCAUUACACUGUGACGUUAGCUACAGAAGAAGCACCGGCAAACUCCGUGCCAGCAGCCGCGGUAAUACGGAGGGUGCGAGCGUUAAUCGGAAGUUACUGGGCGUAAAGCGCGCGUAGGCGGUUAGUUUAAGUUGAGGUGUGAAAUACCCUGGGCUCAACCUAGGAACUGCAUUUCAAACUGGAUAACUUGAGUAUGUCAGAGGGUAGUUGGAAUUUCCCCGUGUAGCAGUGAAAAUGCGUAGAUAUGGGAAGGAACAUCAGUGGCGAAGGCGAAUACCUGGGAUAAUACUGACGCUGAGGUGCGAAAAGCGUGGGGGAGCAAACGGGAUUAGAUACCCCUGGUAG